CAAAAACAUCGCCUCUUGAUUAAUCAUAAGAGGUCCAGCCUGCCCGGUGACAAAGUUUAACGGCCGCGGUAUCCUGACCGUGCGAAGGUAGCAUAAUCACUUGUUCUUUAAAUAGGGACUAGUAUCAACGGCAUCACGAGGGUUACACUGUCUCCUUUCCACAAUCAGUGAAACUGAUCUCCCCGUGAAGAAGCGGGGAUACAACUAUAAGACGAGAAGACCCCAUGGAGCUUUAAGCUCAACAACACCUCCACGCAUACACACCCUUAUAGCCCACGAGCCCUGUAUGUUAGCUUUAGGUUGGGGUGACCGCGGAGUAUAACAUAACCUCCACGACGAAUAGGCCUAAAACCUUUAUCCAAGAGCAACUGCUCUAAGAAUCAUAAAAUUGACACUGAAUGAUCCGAUCUUCGAUCAACGGACCAAGUUACCCUGGGGAUAACAGCGCAAUCCAUUUCAAGAGCUCCUAUCGACAAAUGGGUUUACGACCUCGAUGUUGGAUCAGGGUAUCCCAGUGGUGCAGCCGCUACUAAAGGUUCGUUUGUUCAACGAUUAAAACCCUACGUGAUC
Molecule: ribosomal RNA, 570 nt
Filed under: Tomopterna sp. 3 Shankara
Lineage: Eukaryota; Metazoa; Chordata; Amphibia; Anura; Pyxicephalidae
Description: partial large subunit ribosomal RNA
Rfam family: Bacterial large subunit ribosomal RNA
Source: RNAcentral